GAAAGAAAAAUGAGAACU
This 18-nucleotide microRNA is filed under the name Corchorus olitorius. RNAcentral describes it as "oan-miR-13". Lineage: Eukaryota; Viridiplantae; Streptophyta; Magnoliopsida; Malvales; Malvaceae. RNAcentral also lists the same sequence under 1 other name. The record is from RNAcentral.